RNAcentral lists this ribosomal RNA (425 nucleotides) under Cystocoleus ebeneus. Its description in RNAcentral is "LSU rRNA". It matches the Rfam family "Eukaryotic large subunit ribosomal RNA", at positions 103 to 539 of the family's 3401-position model. Lineage: Eukaryota; Fungi; Ascomycota; Dothideomycetes; Mycosphaerellales; Cystocoleaceae. The record is from RNAcentral.
ACCAGUUCAAAUUUUGAAUCCGGCGUCAGCCCAAGUUGUAAUUUGAAAAGGAUGUUUGGGGGCAGCGGCCGGUUCAAGUUCCUUGGACCAGGACGUAACAGAGGGUGAGAAUCCGGAAGGUGAUCGGCUGGCACCCCUCACGUAGCUCCUUCGACGAGUCGAGUUGUUUGGGAAUGCAGCUCUAAAAUGGGUGGUAAAUUUCAUCUAAAGCUAAAUACCGGCCAGAGACCGAUAGCGCACGGGUGGGGUGAUCGAAAGAUGAAAAGCACUUUGGAAGGAGAGUUAAAAAGCACGUGAAAUUGUUGAGGGGGAGGCGCUUGCAACCGGACUUGACGGCGGUGUUCCCCCGGUCUUUUGACCGGGGCACUCGCCGCCGUCAGGCCGGCAUCAUUUGGGGCCGCCGGAGAUAGGUGGCGGGAAUGUGG